RNAcentral lists this ribosomal RNA (492 nucleotides) under uncultured bacterium. RNAcentral describes it as "partial 16S ribosomal RNA". It matches the Rfam family "Bacterial small subunit ribosomal RNA", at positions 29 to 507 of the family's 1533-position model. The record is from RNAcentral.
AGUGAACGCUGGCGGUAGGCCUAACACAUGCAAGUCGAACGGCAGCACAGUAAGAGCUUGCUCUUACGGGUGGCGAGUGGCGGACGGGUGAGGAAUACAUCGGAAUCUACUUUUUCGUGGGGGAUAACGUAGGGAAACUUACGCGAAUACCGCAUACGACCUACGGGUGAAAGCAGGGGAUCUUCGGACCUUGCGCGAUUGAAGGAGCCGAUGUCGGAUUAGCUAGUUGGCGGGGUAAAGGCCCACCAAGGCGACGAUCCGUAGCUGGUCUGAGAGGAUGAUCAGCCACACUGGAACUGAGACACGGUCCAGACUCCUACGGGAGGCAGCAGUGGGGAAUAUUGGACAAUGGGCGCAAGCCUGAUCCAGCCAUACCGCGUGGGUGAAGAAGGCCUUCGGGUUGUAAAGCCCUUUUGUUGGGAAAGAAAAGCAGCAGGUUAAUACCCCGCUGUUCUGACGGUACCCAAAGAAUAAGCACCGGCUAACUUCGUG